AAAAAUUAGUUAAAUAAAUAACAUUAAAAUGUCAUUUUAAAAUUAUUAUAAGCCUAAUAUUUUUUUA
This 67-nucleotide transfer RNA is filed under the name Leptomyrmex pallens. Its description in RNAcentral is "tRNA-Asp". The record is from RNAcentral. Lineage: Eukaryota; Metazoa; Arthropoda; Insecta; Hymenoptera; Formicidae.